UUCCUGCGCAACGUUAAUCGACGCAGGGUUAGUCGGUUCCUAAGGCGAGGCUGAAAAGCGUAGUCGAUGGGAAACAGGUUAAUAUUCCUGUACUUCUGGUUACUGCGAUGGAGGGACGGAGAAGGCUAGGCCAGCUUGGCGUUGGUUGUCCAAGUUUAAGGUGGUAGGCUGAAAUCUUAGGUAAAUCCGGGGUUUCAAGGCCGAGAGCUGAUGACGAGUCGUCUUUUAGAUGACGAAGUGGUUGAUGCCAUGCUUCCAAGAAAAGCUUCUAAGCUUCAGGUAACCAGGAACCGUACCCCAAACCGACACAGGUGGUCGGGUAGAGAAUACCAAGGCGCUUGAGAGAACUCGGGUGAAGGAACUAGGCAAAAUGGCACCGUAACUUCGGGAGAAGGUGCGCCGGCUAGGGUGAAGGAUUUACUCCGUAAGCUCUGGCUGGUCGAAGAUACCAGGCCGCUGCGACUGUUUAUUAAAAACACAGCACUCUGCAAACACGAAAGUGGACGUAUAGGGUGUGACGCCUGCCCGGUGCCGGAAGGUUAAUUG
RNAcentral lists this ribosomal RNA (546 nucleotides) under Pseudomonas aeruginosa. Its description in RNAcentral is "partial 23S ribosomal RNA". It matches the Rfam family "Bacterial large subunit ribosomal RNA", at positions 1352 to 1883 of the family's 2925-position model. Lineage: Bacteria; Pseudomonadati; Pseudomonadota; Gammaproteobacteria; Pseudomonadales; Pseudomonadaceae. The record is from RNAcentral.